AUGCACCCUGUCCCCUAUCCUGUCACCUGCUGGUCUGAAAGCGGGGGGGCAGUGUGUGUGCCCCUUGCAGACCAGACACCCCCUGGGGCAGUGGCCCAGGCUUCCUCCAGCACAGCUGCAGGGGGAGGGGAUGGGGGCUGCGGGGGGCUCAGGGGUGGAGCAAGGCCUCCCAGAGAGAGGUUUUUGUAUGAGCUUGUGUCACAGUGUUAUGUGUUCGGCAGCGGGACCCAGCUGACCGUCCUAGGUCAGCCCAAGUCUGCACCCUCCGUGUCUCUGUUCCCGCCAUCCGCUGAGGAGCUCAACAGCAACAAGGCCACACUGGUGUGUCUCAUGAGUGACUUCUACCCGGGCAGCGUGACGGUGGCCUGGAAGGCAAAUGGCACCCCCGUCACCCAGGGCGUGGAGACCACCAAGCCCUCCAAGCAGAGCAACAACAAGUACGCGGCCAGCAGCUAUCUGAGCGUGUCCAGCCAAGACUGGAAGUCCGCCAGCGCCUACAGCUGCCAGGUCACGCACGACGGGAAGACCGUGGAGAAGACAGUGGCCCCUUCAGAGUGUUCCUAGGACCUGAGUCCCCACUUCUGGGGACACUUCUCAGUCAGACACUCCCUUACCUGCUCCCCACUGGCCCCCUGCGGCUCCUGCCCUGGUGGCUCAGACUGGGCAGGUCGCCAUCCCUCCCCGUUUCCCCUUCUCCUGAAUAAACUCCUGUCAUUUCUCAUCUGA
Non-coding RNA from Myotis daubentonii (Daubenton's bat), 726 nucleotides. The record is from the annotation of a RefSeq genome assembly. Lineage: Eukaryota; Metazoa; Chordata; Mammalia; Chiroptera; Vespertilionidae.